ACGUCAAGGCCAAGGAGAUGUGGUGAAACCUUAUGUGAGGAUGUGGGUUUUGAACCCCGAAUUAACCUGAUUUGUUUGAGAUGGUCUCAGGGGAUCCCAUUUACAAAAGAGCUUUCCUGUACAACACAUAAAUCACCCUUUUACUCAAUCUCUCUUGCCCCUACUGUUUUAUAUUAGCUUUUUUUUUCUUCCUUACUUGUCCUAAGAUGACUUUCUGUCCUGUACAAUUACUGAUUAUCAGGUGGAUGGAGCUGGGUUUCAGGGGAUUGGAUGCUGUCUUUAAGUUAUCCUGGAAGUUGGCCUUAUUUCUGUCUGUCUUGUGAUGUAUACACAAUGAGAGACAUGUGUUAUCAUUUACAAACAUUUUGAGUGGGAUGACUUGAAACAUCUUGUGUACUGCUUGAUUACAUUUGGAUUAAAAGCAGCGGCCAACAAACUGAAACUACUGUUGAGUUUUGCUGUAGGGGGACUACUUGGGGAUGUUUUUCUACAUCUGUUACCAGAGGCCUGGGCAGCUGUUGAUAAAGGUGGACAACAUGAUCAUUUUGGACACACAAAGAUUGGACUUUGGGUACUAGCAGGAAUCCUCUCAUUUCUGAUCAUUGAAAAAGUAUUUGCCAAAGAAGGAGAAUUUGAUCAU
This is a long non-coding RNA of Saccostrea cuccullata (small rock oyster), 640 nucleotides long. RefSeq lists it as uncharacterized. The transcript has 3 exons. The record is from RefSeq and is a predicted model, not a curated record. Lineage: Eukaryota; Metazoa; Mollusca; Bivalvia; Ostreida; Ostreidae.